UGGGGAAUAUUGCACAAUGGGCGCAAGCCUGAUGCAGCGACGCCGCGUGAGGGAUGGAGGCCUUCGGGUUGUAAACCUCUUUUAUCGAGGAGCAAGCGAGAGUGAGUUUACCCGUUGAAUAAGCACCGGCUAACUACGUGCCAGCAGCCGCGGUAAUACGUAGGGUGCAAGCGUUAUCCGGAAUUAUUGGGCGUAAAGGGCUCGUAGGCGGUUCGUCGCGUCCGGUGUGAAAGUCCAUCGCUUAACGGUGGAUCCGCGCCGGGUACGGGCGGGCUUGAGUGCGGUAGGGGAGACUGGAAUUCCCGGUGUAACGGUGGAAUGUGUAGAUAUCGGGAAGAACACCAAUGGCGAAGGCAGGUCUCUGGGCCGUUACUGACGCUGAGGAGCGAAAGCGUGGGGAGCGAACAGGAUUAGAUACCCUGGUAGUCCACGCCGUAAACGGUGGAUGCUGGAUGUGGGGCCCGUUCCACGGGUUCCGUGUCGGAGCUAACGCGUUAAGCAUCCCGCCUGGGGAGUACGGCCGCAAGGCUAAAACUCAAAGAAAUUGACGGGGGCCCGCACAAGCGGCGGAGCAUGCGGAUUAAUUCGAUGCAACGCGAAGAACCUUACCUGGGCUUGACAUGUUCCCGACGGUCGUAGAGAUACGGCUUCCCUUCGGGGCGGGUUCACAGGUGGUGCAUGGUCGUCGUCAGCUCGUGUCGUGAGAUGUUGGGUUAAGUCCCGCAACGAGCGCAACCCUCGCCCCGUGUUGCCAGCGGAUUAUGCCGGGAACUCACGGGGGACCGCCGGGGUUAACUCGGAGGAAGGUGGGGAUGACGUCAGAUCAUCAUGCCCCUUACGUCCAGGGCUUCACGCAUGCUACAAUGGCCGGUACAACGGGAUGCGACGCGGCGACGCGGAGCGGAUCCCUGAAAACCGGUCUCAGUUCGGAUCGCAGUCUGCAACUCGACUGCGUGAAGGCGGAGUCGCUAGUAAUCGCGAAUCAGCAACGUCGCGGUGAAUGCGUUCCC
Molecule: ribosomal RNA, 1010 nt
Filed under: uncultured bacterium
Lineage: Bacteria
Also listed under: 1 other name
Description: bacterial SSU rRNA
Rfam family: Bacterial small subunit ribosomal RNA
Source: RNAcentral